Molecule: long non-coding RNA, 602 nt
Filed under: Cricetulus griseus (Chinese hamster)
Lineage: Eukaryota; Metazoa; Chordata; Mammalia; Rodentia; Cricetidae
Description: lncRNA (ENSCGRG00000025439.1)
Source: RNAcentral
UUAGCGUGCCCUGCCAUUGGACUUCGCCCGUGCCAGUCUCGCAAUAGGGUUUCCGGGUCCUUUGGCGCUAGAAACAAACUGGAAGGAAGUUGCGAACUUCCACUCUGGGCCUAGGCUAGGACGCGUUUAUGCGAUAGAUUUUUACCUGCCCUUUUGCUUUGAAAAUGCUCUUGAUGGACAUUUUGAACGCUUUCCUGAAAGGGGGCUGACAUUCGUCGCAGUGCGGAUGUGUUCUCCAUGCGGGCACAAAGCUCUUAAACAGCCCGUUUUCCAGAGUGGAAACCAGAUCUAAUCCAGGAUGAGAAAGAAGUCAAACCAGCAUCAGUUCCAGAUGAUUGGGACAGUGCAGAGAAACCUCACCAGCUCCAAGCCUUUCUUCUCAACCCCGAUUCUAUGUUAAAGCUCAGUUUCACGGUGAGUAUUUCACAGUAGCCAUUAUUACAUAUGCAUGCCUAUGACAGUUUCUCAUCGGAAGAAAACCCUAUUUAGGGGCUAGAACCAGUGUUUCAUUUAAUUCAGCAAAAUUCAACUAGAGGUUGAAAGAUAAUAAAUACCUUAAUUUCAAGAAACCUAUGUACUUGAGGCAGAAAUUAGGAGAACCC